GUAGGUGAACCUGCGGAAGGAUCAUUAACACGUUUCGUUCCGAACGUUUUUGACCACUUCUAUUAUCCGUGCACUCAUGAGUCCGGCCUCCCAGCCGCUCACGGGGUUUACUCCGUGUUGCCUGUUGGGCGUUGCUCUUGACUUGAGUUAAUCCUCUCGUUUUGAGCGGCGUUGCCACCUCACCCAAACCCUUAAAUCUAAAUUAUCUGAACUUUUAGUUGACUGUUUUUGUGUGACUUCACUGUCCCAGAAACUGGCAACGAUUAUUGAACAAACAACAACUCUUAACAACGGAUAUCUUGGUUCUC
This 308-nucleotide unclassified non-coding RNA is filed under the name rhizosphere metagenome. Its description in RNAcentral is "partial ribosomal RNA internal transcribed spacer region". The record is from RNAcentral.